AAUGAACGCUGGCGGCAGGCCUAACACAUGCAAGUCGAACGAGGCAGCAAUGCCUAGUGGCGGACGGGUGAGUAACGCGUGGGAACGUGCCCCUUGGUACGGAAUAGCCCUGGGAAACUGGGAGUAAUACCGUAUGUGGUCGAGAGACGAAAGAUUUAUCGCCAAGGGAUCGGCCCGCGUUGGAUUAGGUAGUUGGUGGGGUAAUGGCCUACCAAGCCGACGAUCCAUAGCUGGUUUGAGAGGAUGAUCAGCCACACUGGGACUGAGACACGGCCCAGACUCCUACGGGAGGCAGCAGUGGGGAAACGUAGACAAUGGGGGAAACCCUGAUCUAGCCAUGCCGCGUGAUCGAUGAAGGCCUUAGGGUUGUAAAGAUCUUUCAGUGGGGAAGAUAAUGACGGUACCCACAGAAGAAGCCCCGGCUAACUCCGUGCCAGCAGCCGCCGUAA
This 449-nucleotide ribosomal RNA is filed under the name uncultured bacterium. RNAcentral's name for it is "partial 16S ribosomal RNA". It matches the Rfam family "Bacterial small subunit ribosomal RNA", at positions 29 to 523 of the family's 1533-position model. The record is from RNAcentral.